GAGGAGGAGAGGAGGGCCGGGGCCGAGCGAGGCGGCGGUGGUGCUGGGUCAUGUUUGUGUUGGAGGCUGUCAGGGGAAGGAGGCUGCCGCCCGCCCCCCCACGCGCCGCCAUCGCCCGCCGCCGCCACGGCCCCUCCGCCAGCAUAUGGAUUAACUGACCCCUCCGACAAGUUUAUGGAGCUGCCACAUCUCCGCCUGCUGUACGUUUCAUUUCUGGGAGGAGAAAGCAGUGUACGAGAUUAGAGGAAAAUGCCUCGGACGAAGCAGAUACAUCCCAGAAAUCUCAGAGUCGCUCAGCUUUUACUGCCUCUAUUAUAGAAGUUUUCAUCCAUUUAUCUCUCUCCACAACAAACAGAGGUUUCGAAUACAUCAAGAUGGGUUAAAUGUUGAGAAGAGAAACAAGGGUGUAGAACGAGCCCAUUCUACACAACGACACCUUUUAUUAACAGUUAGAAACCUGUGUUGAGACUACCCGGUUUCUGCAAACUUCAACAUGUUGUCAGCAUACAUUGCUACUAAAUGGGUUAUUAGAGGUGAAGUGAUUUGAAAAAUCAGUUUACUUCUCAUUAGUUAUGCCCUAUUUCCAUUUUUAGUCCAGAUAAUGAGGAAAAGCUGGAUUUCAGUUUCUUUAGUCUUUUUACUUGUUUCUGAGAAUAUAGCAGAAGAUGUUUGCUGAACACAUGAGGUAUUGGUGGAAUUGGUAUUGAUGGAAUUAGGAGAGACUGAAGGUUUUGUAUUUCUCUUCUCUUUUUUUGUGUAUGGAAAGUUGGACCAGCUUCAAAUUGAGAGUUUUAACUAUUAAAAAAGAAAACCCAAACAAAUGUGUUCUGUGUCUGUGGUGUUGAAUUCGUGGCUAUUGGUACAGAUAAUAACUAGAUAUGUAAAAAGAAUGCGUGGCUGUGAUCUAAGAUGAAAUAAAGAUGUAUUAUUAAGUGGCUUUUGUUCUGAGGAUAAAAGGUAUGUUUACAUUAUCUAAACUUAAUGAUUACCACCUGUACUAUGUGCUAAGAAUGCCCCAUGCCCCCACCUGGCUUCUUUCUUCCUUGUCUCAACCCCUCCGGUUGCCCCAUAGCCAUUGAAUGGCCAGCGGCUUAACUGGCCUGGGGUCCAUCAAUGUUUAACUUUAGAGAGAGCACUGUCUAACAACCCUUGGCUGCUCUGUUGUGCAUUGGAUGAGUUGCUGCAAUUGCACUUGCUUUCCAAGUCAGCCUGAAGAAUAAACAACCAAGUCCAAGAACCUAAAAUAUGUAUACAAAUUCUGAAGCAAAAGAAAACCAAAGCAACCAAACCCAUAACUUCACUUCUCCCCCCUUCCUCCCCCCCCCAAAAAAAAGUUAAUUUGUGGCUUUCUGCAGCAUAGAAAUAAGUUCUGAAGGUUUUCAUGUUGCCUUUGUUUACUGUAAGUAAUGUUAUUGUCUGGGGAAAAUGAAAUAGCAUUGUUUAAUAGAUAGAGCUAAAUUUAAGGUUUUGGCAAGAAAUGUGAAGGCUCUUCUUUUUUUUUUUUUGACAUGGCUUUAUUUUACUUCUUUUGUAUGCUUUUGGUAGGCUCUGUAAAGAUCAAAUUUGUUUGCUUAUUUGAGUGUGUUUGGUUUUUGUUUAGGAGUGUGAUGAGGUCCUGUACCCUCUUCCUCUGUCUUGGUUUCCACCUUUUGUUUAUAGAGGAAUCACUAUAUAGUACCAUACUAACCUGAUUUUUACAGCAGGAAAGAACCUGUGUCAAAAGGGCAGGAUAUGGGAAGCAUUGUUUUGCAAAUAAAAUGUAUUUAUCCAUAUAUAUGUGUAUAUAUAUAUAAAACCAAUUUUAUAUAUCCCUAUAUGUAUAAAACCAAUAGAAUAAGUCAGCCGUUUGUUUUCAUGAUUAUGUGCUAGUGACAUGGUUUUAAUGCUCGGCUGCAGCUGAAUGAGCAUGUUAUAUCUGAUGCCUUAUGUCAGUAAGGCAUCAGCUAUGCUAUGCUUGUUUCGUUAUUCUGUUUUGUCGCAUCAGUCUUCCCUUUGCUUCUCAGUGCAAAUAGGUCCUUAGGUUUGAAAGCAUCAGCAUUAGCAGGGGACUGCUUUGGUGAGGAAUCACGCGUAGUAUCAGACUUAAGGUGAAAAAAUAAAAGCAAAAGUCAAAAUAAAACAACCAAACACUAACUAGAUAUGAGUUACCGGUCAGCUACACAGCCAGAAUGGAUUUCAUAAGCAGGCAUUCCUGAUGUUGUCUUAGCCCCUUGGACGUCUUGGCCAUUUAUCGUGUUGCUAACGAAAGUGUUGUCAUCCUCCAGAAAAUGAGUGUGCUGUCAAAGAGGAAAACGUCUGUCUUGCUCAGGAGGUGGGCUGGGAACAGUGGGAUUAUUGCAGUCUUUACUGCUUACAAGACAUCCAGAGCAUUGUCUGUCUUAGAAUUAACCUUGUGUGUCGUGUUUUAGGCAGGUGGUAGAAGACUGCUUUGCGUGCAGUCACACUAUAUAUUUACAUGACCAAUUGAUACAUGGAUGGAGCAAACAUUUCACAGAAGCAGAAAUGUAUUCCCGGAGGUACAUCUACAUUAGAGAAUCAUGCUUUUAGCAGUACAGAGUGAGCUUGGUUUGUUGUCAGACGGUUGUGAGGAUAUAGGAGGAAAAACAGCUCAUGUUUUUGUUCACUUUGGUGUACCCAAUUGCAGAGAUUAGACUGAGAAGUUAUUUAUUCUUUGUACACUGUUUAGCAGAGCUGUAAUGCUCAGAUAUGAAACUGUUGCAAAUAUUUUGAACUCCUUCUUUUUCUUAGAUAAGCUUUUUAUUUUUCAAAUACAAAUUCUUGCUGUUUCUGGUUUUCCUUCUCAGUCAAAUAUUUCCAUUUGAAACAAAUGGUGGAUGGGCUCAUAAACUUCAAGGACUGUGUCUAAAUAUUUUUAACGCUUUGUGUUUGUUAAGGAAGUGCAGGUAUAAUACAAAUAUUUCUGUUCAAUAGCCUGAUAGCUAAAGUUGCUGGGAAGCCAGUUAUGUUCUGUGUCUGAUUUCUAGGAGAGUGAGGUGUCUGCUAUGUCUUAAGUGUAAUUUAGUGAAGGCUCUUAAAGUUGGUUCAAAAUUAUAAUGUGUUUCAAUAUUGAAAUAAGCCUGUUGACAUUGGAAGCUGACCUGUUAAUAUUUCGUAUUAGUCCUUAGUCUUGUAGUCUGUAAGACUUGAGAACAGACUGUUGUGCUGUGCUGUAACUCAUGAUUUGCAUUAAAAAAAGAAAAAAAGAACAGGUUUUAUAGUAGUUGCAUCUUUAACUUGCGCCUGGUCUACGUAAAAGGAAUCUGCAGGCAUAACACUUGACUUUCAGGUCAUAGUACUGUUUCUGAUAUAAAAAUAAUGCACAGUGUUAUGGAAGCAAUGAGGUGCUGUUGAGGCAGUGCUGGUACAUCAGAGGUGAUAGUAGUCUGCACUUUGUGGUGUGCCUGUGGGCAUUUGCUGUAGGAAAAGCUCAAACAUGCAUCUUGCUAAAAUUUCUGGAUCAUAUGUGACACAGGUGGAACAAGAAGUCAGAGCCUUGCCUUGGUGAUUCCGUUAUAAAAAUAUGCAUUGAUUUGGUAGCAAGUGUUGUUUCUGUGUACUGGAUUGUUUCUAUUAAUAGUACUUCAAACUAAAAUCUCCCUCAUAAAGAUAGGAGGAUCACCUGGUUCUGUAGGUAUCAGCCGGCUGGCCAGGCCUGCCUGCCAUGCAGUGUGUAGUCUGUAUUUCCUGUAGACGAUGGCAGUAUUCUCCCUGUGCCUCGUGUUCUUCACCCUGGAUGUGGAGUGAUAGAAUUUCUCUCGCUCUUGUUUUUGGUUUUGUUUUAUAUAUUUAAGGUGAUUCUUGUCUGCAGCCAUUAUUGUUGUUAUUUAUUGUAAUGUGAAUAAUACGUAUGUUUUUACAUUUGAAAAACUAAGAUACUAUGCAAUGUAAGAAAGGAUAAAUUUAAAGCUCUUGUUUGUCAUUCUUUACCUGGUAUUCAUCCCCAAACUUCAUUGUGUAAGCAUUUUUUGACAGGGUCUGAUCCAGUUCAUUGCUCAGGAUGGCUGGGCCCCCCUUCUGUCAGUGGCCACAGGUGAUGGUCAAAUGUCUGCUGAGAGCUGAUUGCAACAGAGGAAAGGCUGGGAGGAUGGAUAAGAUUGCACUGCCUCGAGAGCUGCAUUUUGUUCUUGCCUCUGCCUCCAAGCUUCAAGUGUGAGGUUGAGUGAUUCUGUUAAAAACCAAGCUUCCGCAGCCAACUGCUAAUUGUGUUCCAUGUUUUGCCAAAGCUGAGAUGCCACGGCACAGAUUCUCAGUUCUUGUAACUGCAGUUUGUGUUUUACGUUCAAAUUGUCGCCGUGAACACCCUAAAAAAUGAAUUAAUUCAGUUGGGGCCUAGGCAACUCAAGUUGAAGACUCAAGAUUAGCCAACACUUCUGGUACAUCUCUUAAUCUCUGUUUCCUACCUUCAAAUUGGAGAUGCAUCAGUUUCUAAGGGCCUAGAGGAUAAGGUUGUUAUUAUUGUGCCUAAACAGUGGAAAAGAUGGAGAAACUGCUAGUCUUGUGUUAGGGGUGUGCUGCAAGCAAGGCCUGGAGCCAAGCUGGCUUCCGUUGGGUAAGCAAAUUUACUUUUGUUACUCUCUGACUUCAGUGCUCUUUUUCACCAUCUUAACGUUUCAGAUAUAUUCUUAAAUGUUACUUCCUAGCUGUCAAAAUAGCAAACUUGAAAAAGGAAAAAAAAAACAACCCAAGAUAUUCUGUUGUAUUGAAUCCCAUCUGAGUCAGUGCCAUGCUGGGACCCUGUGAGGUUGGUCAGGCCUUCAGCAUGUAGGCUUUGCCCUCAUGGAACAUGGUUAUGAGGAUGGAGGAGGAAGCCUCCCACCUGAGUGAGCUUUUUGGCAGUUGGUGCUGGUGUUGAGAGCUGCUAGGGCCUUUGGAGAGAAUAAAGCUUAUGGGUUUUAAAUGUUUGUACCAUUUUCUGCAAUAGCCCAUUUCAAGUGCUUGGCAUAAUGUCCCUGAGAAAGCCCCUGGGUGCAGGGAGAGCGUUUAGAGAGGAACAACUUUAAGGUCAUAGCUUCCCAAGUGGUUCUGAGGUUGCUUUAGCUGUUCUAACACUGAAGGCAGGGAGUGAUUUUUAGGCUGAAUCAGUCUCCCUCCAGUCCCACACACCCCACUGCUGCAGGAGUGUGUCCAGGGAGAGACAGCGCAGAGGCAGCCAUAGCUAAAACCCUCCUGGCUCCACUUUGCUUGGGUUUACAAGCAUUUGUGCUGGUCUAAGAGUGGGGAAUGGGAAAAAAGAAGGUGCCUGAUGCAGGUAGAGUUACUGAAUUGUCUUUUUUCUAAGCCUUUUUUCUAAGCUGGAGCACAAGCUCUGGCGUGUUCAGAGGGUUUUGGGAAAAAAACAUGUAAUGCAGCUGUGAAAAGAGUAAGAUUUCCAUAGCUGUUCUUUCACAUGUUUCUAUUAGAGCAGGCAUUUUGCUUUGGGAUGAAACUGUGUUUUUUCGGUUCUCUGAAACAAUGACAUUUUGUGAGAGACGAGUUUUCUUGUGAGCAUUUAGAACAAUAGAACUUCUAAACAGAAAUCCUUGCCAACCUAUAUAAUCCUCACAACUUAGACUAGAUGUUGGUUUGCUGUGCAUGUGUAUGUAGCGUAAAUGUUUUAACGUCCUGUGUAGGCAGUGAACUUGCCCACACAAACAACAAUGUAAUAGCUGCUUUCAGGAUGUCACCUUUAGAAAAUAGCAGGUAGAUAACAAGAUCCUGGAUAGGCUGGAAGAGUUCAGUUAUCAGAGACUCCUCAUGGUUUUAUGGUUGCUGACGCCCUGAAUUAUCUGUUACAAAAGAGGACAGACAGGCUUAUGGUCUCAUAUUUUCUCAAAUUAACUUUUUCUUGCUCUAAAAAUGUGCAGGUUUUCACUUGCAUCUGUAUUUUCAAAGUCUGUAUACAUCAGUGUCCCAGACUGUGUAGUUGUGUGCUGCUUUAUUGCGGAUCUCCCCGUAGUCUGACUUGUAAAGAAUAGUCCUCUGGUUUUGGGCUUCCAUUCUGUUUGUGUUUGAAUAGUGAAACUGUUCCCUUUUGGUGCAGAAGGCACAUUGCUUGAAUUUCUUGUGAUCAGACAAUUUGAUUUCAAGUUGCAAACUGCUCUAAAUAUUUAUGCCAGGAAACAUAAAUGAGACUUUCCAGAGCUGCACGUUUUUGAGGAGCUAGUUAUACAAGUAUGUGCUUCCUAGGCUUGUUCAUUCUUUGGUAUGUCAGCCUUCUGUAGCAAGAAUUAUAGCUCAGUGAUGGCUUUGGAGAUUCUGAAGAGGGAAACUAAGGUUUAUUGCUCAGUUGGAAGAGUAAGACUUUCCUUUCUGUAUUAAAGGAGAUGAAUCAGCUGGACUUUACAUUUCCAAGUUGUGCAAGGUGCAGUGUUCCCCUCCACUUGUUAAGCGUACCAUAACUCAGGAUAUUUACAUUAAGAAGGUGGAGAGGGGGGAGAAAAAGGUGCAGCAGAUGUUUGGAGCCUUCUGUGACGCAUUCAUGGAGGGAGUGGGGAAGCUCUCGUAUAGUAAGGCUGGGCAGGACUGUUUGUUACUGUAUAAUAACUUUUAAAAUGUCUGUAAAGUUUGUCUCAGAAUGAGACAGCUCAGGGAAUGUGCUGACAUAGAAUUUCCCUUAUGACCUCUGGUGACUGAAAAAGAAAUGGCUUUGUAAUGACCCACAGGUGUGAACAGCGGAAGACUGGAGCUGAGAAAGUCCGUGUGUGUGUGUAGCUUCAGUCUUUGACUUCAGAUUUUGUCUGUACUUGUAAUCACAUCUGGUUUGUAUAAUAAACCAUACUUAACAUCUUUGGUUGACAGCUGAAGCCAUGAGUAGAGAAUGUGGACCGUGAACUCGUACAUUAAAACAUCCCGUGAACUGUUUCUCCCCAGAUUCCUGUGUGUUUAGAAGAUAAGUUUUGCUGAGUCCCCUUUGCAAAUCCUUCUCUUGGGCUAAAACUACAAAAAGUUUGGAAAGAGGUGCGGAGAGGAAAAAGUGGUAGUUGAGCAGGAUCCUGUGGUCUAACGUAGCUACAAAACAACUGUGUAUGUGUUCCUAGUUACCUAUGAAAUAUGUGGCUCGAGCUCUGCCAAGCAGUGAUAGUCAUGGAAUAUCCAGAGCAUGCCACAUGAUUUCCUCUGAUAUUUUUUUUUUGACCUAAUUUUGGGGGUUAGGAAGUAGAAGUGAGCGUUGAACUAUAUUGUUUUUAACUACUUAGUGCUGUUAAAUCAGAUGGAAGAUCGAACACUUGCUCUUACCCUAAAGAUUGUAACGCAGUUGUGAUACCGAGCCAGGAAAAAGAAAAACGUGUAGAAAUGGCACAUAAAGUAUAGUUUCUCUGGUGGUUUUGCUAUUCCAUUACCUCUGUGGAAUCUCUAGCAUUUGUGUCUUUUGAAGAGGAGCACGAAUCUCAGAAAGUAGACGUACAGUUCUUACUCCCUCCAUCAGGAUUUCAUACAGCAAGAAGUGUUUGUAUUUCUGUCCCAGUGCUAUCAAGGAAACGCAGUGGUGUGUAUGUAGCGAUUGUGUUUAAAAUAUUUUACUCUAUAAUUUUUAUUAGUAAAAUACAUCCUAUGUCAAAAUGUUCCUAUAAUUCUCAGUUGUCAAGAGGCAGAGCUAAGUAUGCAUGUUGUGAUAGUUUAAUGCAUUGAAUCUUCAGAGAGAAUUGCCUCCUUCGGUAUAAGGACAAUGCUUUUGUGAGGCAGAUUAGGAACUGUGAAAAUACAGAACUUUAUUACAGGGAUGAUUUAAUAAUUUUCCAGUAAAUCUUUGUGCAGCGUACACAGUGAAUUUGUCUUGCACGCAUUUGUUGGUGUAUUCUUCUUCACGGUGCUGAUUUAUGGAACGUUUCAGUAAGCUUUCUUAUGGUGUUUUUCCUUAAACAAAACCCAAAAAAUAGAGAAAACAGAAAGUAUUUCUAGUCAGGCUGGCUCUGAAGCUCUCACAUCUAGAGGCUUCUCCUUUUCUGAAGCUUUCAGUUUCCUCAGUGCGCUAUUAACAUAUGCAGGAAGGCUCCCCAGGCAAACUCUGAAGUUGUGGGCUGGAGGAGGAAUCUCCCUCUGGGGGCCUUUGCCUGAGGGAUGCUGUCUGCCCAAGUGGGUGGGAGGGCACCUCAGGCAGAGCCGGGCAUGUCCCAGUGCUCCUGGGAGACUUUCACAGGCAGGAUAUGGCCAGGGCACAAACCAGAUUUUAACUUUUAAUGUUCUUCCAGUAUCUUAUGGCUGCCUUCUACUCUGAUUUUUUUCAAAAAUAAGUGAAUAGUAUAUUCUUUUUUAAGGCUAUCAGUUCAGCUUCUUAAUUUUUUUACUUGGCAACUUAUGAGUUUCUUUAUAUCCUUCUUUGUGCUUUUGUUUUUCCUUCUCAUACUCUGUUCUCCAUAACAAAUUCAGUGUCUACAGAUAAUGCUUUGUUGCUGUUAGGCUUCCUCGCAAUCAUGUGAAAGCUUUAAAAACAGGAAAACCAAACCGUCUUUUUAUUCCUCCUUUACUUUUCUUCCUAUUCUUAAAUUUCACAGGCCUUUUGAUAUUGCUGGCGUCUUACGCGUUCUGGUUUUCUUGCUGAUCAUAGUUGUAGAUAGAAAGAUGCUUGAGAGGAAGUGACCCUGAGUUUACGUGAUGAGGCUUUAAGACUUCAGUUAACCAGGUGUGUUCCUCAGGAACAACAUCACACAGCGCAGCGAGAAAGCAGAACAAUGAGUUCACUUAAUACAUGGUGUAUUAAGACAGUGAUGCUGGGCUUCUGUAGCUGGAUAUGGUAAUUUUAAAAAAAAAAAAAAGCUAUUUAAAAAUUCUUAGGAGCAGGGAGGAGUCUGAAAGUUAAUGUUCUUUUGGCAGAAGAAAAUGGCUCGACAAUCAUGUAGUGGUCAGUGUUUUCCUGAGCUUGAAGGUUUCUGGUUAACCACUUAAUUCUGUGAGGGCAUGCAGGACUUUAAAAUGCUUUAAAGUUCACCAAUGCAUGAAAGAAGGGCAGAGAAGUCUGCUUCGGAGCUAGUAGAAGGGGUUAAUGUUUGUGCACAGUUAUGUACUUGUUACCUGCAAGUUAAUUUAAACACUGCUUUUCAAGAAAAUGCUGACACAAAACUGGUCUCUUGAGCCAACAGGAUAACUGAUCAGCUUUUCCUCCAUGAAGCUCUGAAGAUAUACUUUCAGUGGCAGUAGCUAUGAUGAUGUCUUCCAGAAGAAACCUCAGUAAAUGGAAGGAAAGCUAGCAAUCAGUGCUGAUUAACAGAUCUGCAUUCAGUGACUUAAAUGUCUCCGAUUAGCCUGUUUGCUGCAUUUAAAUGUGCAAUUCUGUAUAAACAGAAUGUGGUGCUUGGGGAGCGGAGGGAGCCUCUUGAAUGCUGAAGACUGAAAAUGUGAGGUAGAAAGGUGCAGGAGAUGCACCUGCCCCCCAUAACAGUCAUUAGUACCUGUGGGACUGACAGUUUCAAUUAGCUGUGGGGGUGAUGGGUGUUUCCUAAUCAGAUAAGGCAUAAGAUAGUGCGUGUGUGGAGGUAGGAUGUUGUUAUUAGUGUUCGGUUUCUCUUUACUGCCAAAGAAAGUCAAGCAUGUACAAAACAUGGAGAUUUUCUGGAUUAUUUAAAUCUGCGUUUUCAUAGUUAUAUUUGCUUUAUAUGUGUAUAUAUAUAUAUAUUCUUUCUUGUGAAGGCACAGUUCUUUGGUACCAAAAUAUUGUAGCUUGCUUUGCUGACUUGCUCGUGUUGCUACUUUGGCCAAAAGCCUCAACUUUGCACGUACAUCUUUCUGGGUUACAGAUCCUGGCUUCAGGGAAGACAGACUGAUUGUGCGGAGGGUUGGCCUGCCACGUAAGCAGGCAGUAAGAAAUGAGCUUUGGGCGGCUCUGUGGCUUUAAGUAGUGGAUCUGACAAAAGCAUAUGGAAAAUUCAUGCAACAGGGAUACUGUAUCAAAACAAAUCCUGUGGAGAAGGAAACCCAGGGCUUUUUCCCUCACUUGUUCCCUUCUUGUUUUCUGUGUUGUUUGCUUCUCAUCUUCUGUAUCUUAAAUGAUCUAUUUUUUUUAAGGAUCAACAUAAUUUGCAAAUACUCAACAGUUCCUCAAAGAGUUUGAGGCAAAAUGGUUGAGCUUGGAAGGGAAAUGUUCAUGUGGAGAUAGCAUCAGGGAGGUGAGGCAUGCUGGGAAAUAAACAUGGUUUCCUUUCUGCUGACUAACUACCCAAUAAGAGAGAGCACAAUGUACUAACACAUCAGAAAGAGAAGUCCUGUGUGGAAUAAUCCUUUUAUUAUUUUUAUUUUGCGAAUGUUCUUUACUAGCAGAGUGGUUAGACCCUGGAACAGGCUGCCCAGGGAGGUUGUGGAUGCCCCGUCCUUGGAGGUGUUCAAGGCCAGGUUGGACGGGGCCCUGGGCAACCUGAUCUA
Molecule: non-coding RNA, 10332 nt
Organism: Coturnix japonica (Japanese quail)
Lineage: Eukaryota; Metazoa; Chordata; Aves; Galliformes; Phasianidae
Source: RefSeq, a predicted model, not a curated record